Long non-coding RNA from Pygocentrus nattereri (red-bellied piranha), 410 nucleotides. The record is from Ensembl. Lineage: Eukaryota; Metazoa; Chordata; Actinopteri; Characiformes; Serrasalmidae.
GAGGUUUUUGGGUGGACUGUCCCUUUAAAGCCUGUUCCUGUUGUUUCUGUCUGUGUUCCUCAGUUUUACACGCCAUGAGGGACGACAGUGAGAAAGUUCCCAGCCUGCUGACCGAUUACAUCCUCAAAGUUUUGUGUCCCACAUAGACGCAGCAGAACCUUCCCGAAGGAUCCAGCGUGUGGGAUUGCGUGGUUCUGGACUGAGGCAGUUUCUUCUUCUUCUUCUUCUACCGUUCUUCCUUCUCCUUCACAUCAGCCAGAGAUUCUCCUAACAGCUCCUGGUUUAUGUAUCCGGCUGUGUUUUAACGGACUAGUGUGCGGUUCUCGUUAUUUUUCCUGUAUAUUCUGUAGGUCUCGUCGUGCUUAGCCGGUGAACGGUGAGCGGUGGGGGUUUUGCUGAGUCCGUGUGGC